RNAcentral lists this transfer RNA (89 nucleotides) under candidate division WWE3 bacterium CG08_land_8_20_14_0_20_40_13. RNAcentral describes it as "tRNA-Ser". It matches the Rfam family "tRNA". From Rfam's summary of the family: Transfer RNA (tRNA) molecules are approximately 80 nucleotides in length. Their secondary structure includes four short double-helical elements and three loops (D, anti-codon, and T loops). Further hydrogen bonds mediate the characteristic L-shaped molecular structure. tRNAs have two regions of fundamental functional importance: the anti-codon, which is responsible for specific mRNA codon recognition, and the 3' end, to which the tRNAs corresponding amino acid is attached (by aminoacyl-tRNA synthetases). tRNAs cope with the degeneracy of the genetic code in two manners: having more than one tRNA (with a specific anti-codon) for a particular amino acid; and 'wobble' base-pairing, i.e. permitting non-standard base-pairing at the 3rd anti-codon position. Lineage: Bacteria; candidate division WWE3. The record is from RNAcentral.
GGAAGGGUCGCAUAGUUGGUCUAGUGCGCAGUCCUGGAAAGACUGUAUGUCGCAAGGCAUCGCGGGUUCGAAUCCCGCCCCUUCCGCCA